GGAUUCCUGGCAGAGUGAUUU
RNAcentral lists this microRNA (21 nucleotides) under Lepisosteus oculatus (spotted gar). RNAcentral's name for it is "Loc-Mir-23-P1_5p* (star (passenger))". The record is from RNAcentral. Lineage: Eukaryota; Metazoa; Chordata; Actinopteri; Semionotiformes; Lepisosteidae. RNAcentral also lists the same sequence under 8 other names.